UACGUAGGGACCGAGCGUUGACCGGAAUCAUUGGGCGUAAAGAGCGUGUAGGUGGCCACUUAAGUCCUGCGUGAAAUCUUGCGGCUCAACCGCAAGCGGUCGUGGGAAACUGGGUGGCUAGAGUGCGGGAGAGGAGAGUGGAAUUCCUGGUGUAGCGGUGGAAUGCGCAGAUAUCAGGAAGAACACCCGUGGCGAAGGCGGCUCUCUGGAACGCAACUGACGCUGAGACGCGAAAGCGUGGGGAGCAAACAGG
RNAcentral lists this ribosomal RNA (253 nucleotides) under uncultured bacterium. Its description in RNAcentral is "partial 16S ribosomal RNA". It matches the Rfam family "Bacterial small subunit ribosomal RNA", at positions 524 to 776 of the family's 1533-position model. The record is from RNAcentral.